CAUUCCUCCACGCUGCGCAGCCCCAACCCCCCAUCUUCACUAUCUUCGCUACGCAGCCCUAGCCUCUUCUUCACCCUCUUCCCUGUGCAGCACACACCCACGGAUUGUGGAAGGAAAGCUUGGCACCGUCGAACAGAGAAGGAAGGGAGAGGGAAGAGUUGCUCGCACCGUCACCACGCUGCUGCUGCGACCUAACCGCGUUGCCGCUGACCCGUGAAGCUACCGCCAGAACCGCGCGAGGAGCGUCAUCGUCCUGUGGAGCCGUGUCGUCGCCAUUCAGCCCACUGUCGGAGCAGAGACGUGCGAGGGAGGAAGACACCGCCAGCCGCCAAUCUGGUCUGAGGGAGAGGGAAUGCCUCUGCUGCCAGCUUUGGGGUGUCAUUCAAGCCGCUGCCCAGCCACCGUCAAGCAUAGUCUGCCGUCAGAAAAGGGUUCAAGCCUCUGCUAAUGGAGCUAGCCGGGACUAUUCCAAGGUUUUGCCGCUCAUUCCGAUCCUGCUCUAUUUUGGUUAAUGCCGUUGUCAUUAUUCUGGCUACUUCUGCCGUCGCCGGAAAAACACUGCCGUCGAAAACAGCCGCGGAGUCCUCUGUGUUAGUAAGCUCUAACCUUGCUUCAGCUUCUUUAUCUGUUAAGUUUUCCAUUACCAUGAGAGUUGUUGCUAAGGCUGGUUGUGCUAGGAGUUUAUCGCGUGUUGUCGUCGUUCUGGUCACCGGCUGUGGCGUUGGUGUUGUCGGAACCGCCACUGGUGCUGCCGUUACUUGGUUCCCUCGAAGUUGCUAUGGUUACUGCGAAAGUGGCUUGGAGCUGAGGUUGCGGUUGUCGGUGAUUUCGGGUUGAGAUAGAAGGUUCCUGUGACGCGUUUGGGUUAUGGUUUUGCGUAUUGAGGUCUUUUCUUUUUCAGGUUACAGACGAUGAAGUUCGAAAGAGCUUAAUUCUUUUCUGUUAGACGAUAUUUCUGUAUUGUUUUAGUAUUUAUAUUUCCCUCACCUUUAGCUUUGCAAGUUUUGUAAGAGGGAUAGGAUUUUGAUAUGAGAUAUUUGUAAAUUAAUAUGUAUGUAUACGUAUAUGUAUAUAUAUAUAUAU
Arachis ipaensis is the source of this 1083-nucleotide non-coding RNA. NCBI's taxonomy places the organism in Eukaryota, Viridiplantae, Streptophyta, Magnoliopsida, Fabales, Fabaceae. The record is from RefSeq and is a predicted model, not a curated record.